This 1039-nucleotide long non-coding RNA is filed under the name Panax ginseng (ginseng). Its description in RNAcentral is "long non-coding RNA (PGIN_LNC018174)". The record is from RNAcentral. Lineage: Eukaryota; Viridiplantae; Streptophyta; Magnoliopsida; Apiales; Araliaceae.
UGGGUUCCCCAAUAGGAGUUGACUGUUCGGACGAUAAAAGAUAACAUAUUUACGAAAAAUGUUUGAUCUGAAAAUUGGUCUGAAAUUCAAUGUUCCACUAUUCCGGUCAAUAACCUGCAUUGCAAGUGAUAUUAUUUUAAAGUCAAGUACAUUGAUAAAAGCACCAAAAAUGUUAAUUUUAAAAUGCAUCCAAUAGUUAACUGCAAGAACAGUUCAAGAUUGUAGCUAUAACCAUUAACAUAUAAUUUUAGCAUGAAUAAACUAUGCCGCAUUUCUCUCUAGAAAAGUAACCUCAGACAGGUAUAACAGAUGGCAAGAUAAACCUCUGGCUUAUCUUGGAACUUGAAAGGGGAUCCAAAAAGAAGAAGACUGAAAAAGGUGGACUAUAUUACUGCAAGCACUUUAUGGAAUAGACUAAAUGAAGUAGUUCGGUCACACCUCCUGCACAAAACUACAAAUCAAUAAAGUAGCUAUCAAGGUGCUUAAUCAUUUCAAAAAUAAACUGGGUAGUGCUUUAUAUCAACAUCUCAUCAACAGUUGAUCAAGCUCAUCUUUGUAGUAUUUCCCUUAAAAAUGUUCUUAUUAGUUGACCUUAGUUCAGUGAACCACGUUCCCAUAAACCUCACAAAUAUGGAAGCUGUGCCACAAGUUGUUGAUCCUGUCGGUUAAUAUCCUAUGAUUACAAUGUAUUAUUUCAUCUUUACAGGAAUGACAAGAGAAGGUAUUAUCAUGAGUUAUCAAUGAUUGAUCUGGUUCAAAACCAAGGUAACCAUAUUACAUGGAAAUAGAAGCUUACGUUGAGCAUAAAGUGCUAGCUCUCUACCUGAUACCAGAGAUUGGCUGAUGUUCCAAGAAAGGCUCCAUAGACUGUUGUUGCUUUGAAGAUGGGUGAUCUUUUAUUCACUUGACUAGUGACAAGGGUCGGAUUAAGUAUUUUACGCAUUGCAUACUAGAUAUUGGAGGCAACCACAACUCCAAUGCUGGAAAUAACAUCCACAUUACCAAGCUUCAAGCCACCAAUGAGCACUGAAGCAACUUU